GAAUGUGGGGCCUGCCCUUACCAUGCAAGUCGAACGGCAGCGGGGGAGAAGCUUGCUUCUCCUGCCGGCGAGUGGCGAACGGGUGAGUAAUACAUCGGAACGUGCCCUGUAGUGGGGGAUAACUAGUCGAAAGAUUAGCUAAUACCGCAUACGACCUGAGGGUGAAAGUGGGGGACCGCAAGGCCUCAUGCUAUAGGAGCGGCCGAUGUCUGAUUAGCUAGUUGGUGGGGUAAAGGCCCACCAAGGCGACGAUCAGUAGCUGGUCUGAGAGGACGAUCAGCCACACUGGGACUGAGACACGGCCCAGACUCCUACGGGAGGCAGCAGUGGGGAAUUUUGGACAAUGGGCGAAAGCCUGAUCCAGCAAUGCCGCGUGUGUGAAGAAGGCCUUCGGGUUGUAAAGCACUUUUGUCCGGAAAGAAAUGGCUCUGGUUAAUACCUGGGGUCGAUGACGGUACCGGAAGAAUAAGGACCGGCUAACUACGUGCCAGCAGCCGCGGUAAUACGUAGGGUCCAAGCGUUAAUCGGAAUUACUGGGCGUAAAGCGUGCGCAGGCGGUUGUGCAAGACCGAUGUGAAAUCCCCGAGCUUAACUUGGGAAUUGCAUUGGUGACUGCACGGCUAGAGUGUGUCAGAGGGGGGUAGAAUUCCACGUGUAAUAUUGAAAUGCGUACAAGAUGUGGAGGAAUACUGUUGGGUGAAAGCAUCCCCCUGGCAAGCAACUC
Molecule: ribosomal RNA, 724 nt
Filed under: Ralstonia solanacearum
Lineage: Bacteria; Pseudomonadati; Pseudomonadota; Betaproteobacteria; Burkholderiales; Burkholderiaceae
Description: bacterial SSU rRNA
Rfam family: Bacterial small subunit ribosomal RNA
Source: RNAcentral